RNAcentral lists this ribosomal RNA (1647 nucleotides) under Triticum aestivum (bread wheat). RNAcentral's name for it is "partial small subunit ribosomal RNA". Lineage: Eukaryota; Viridiplantae; Streptophyta; Magnoliopsida; Poales; Poaceae. The record is from RNAcentral.
AUGGGGUCGGUCGUGGAUUUUGUGGAGAUCAGCUCCGACGAGGAGGACGUUCCCAUGCCCAGGAAGCCAGUUGACGACUGGGUUGGGAAGCUUUUGAAUGAUGAUGGGCCAAAUGGGGACGAUUUCUUUGAUCUCGUGGUGAUGGGUGAGUUCUCGCCGCCACAGAAGAAGGCCAACCCUGGUGGUGGUGAUGAUGAGGAUGACGAUGAUUGUGUGGUUCUAGAUGGUGACCCUGAGAAGGCAAUUACCAUCGGGGAGGACAAGGGGAGUGUGGGAGAUAGCAGCUCCGAUGAAUUGCAGAUAGUCGGGGAGAAAGGACCGGUAGCGUGCAGGGACUUCCCUCAUUCACGCCAUCUAUGUUCUAACUUGCCCUUCAGCGCUACUUCUCACGUGAAGCAUUGUAGCAUGUGUCACUGUUUUGUAUGCGAUGCCCCAGCUCCAUGUAAUUAUUGGGGUAAAGGUAUCCAGCUUAAUGAUCAUUGUCAUGCUACGGAUAAGGAAUCAAAGUGGAAACAGCUGCGGCAAGCAUUCAAGUCUAAAAGUCUUCCAGCAUCUCGUCCAGAACAAUGCCAGAAUGUCAUCUACCCAACAAUGGCACCAUCCAUUAAGAAGGAUAUACAGUGUCAAGUCUCGUCUUUUGCAAACAGAAGUCCUCUUCUGCAUGUUAUGAGCCAAAACAAACAAAGACACACUUCAGUUAGAGUCUCACUGAAUGUAGGACGGACUAUCAGUACACCAAGAGCAUCCCUUGCGACAAAAGCGGGGAGAAGUACAAACAAUGUCCACACUGCUCAAAACAUUCAUUCACGUGGAAACUUCAAAAGAGUAGGGACAGCUUCUCCAGGUCACACAAUCCGAAAUGCUGACCAAUUUGGUUCUAGUGCUCCAAUCAGUACCCCGUCCCUUAUGAACAAUGCAUUGCCACAUGUAUCACAGCCAGUUCAAGCUAUACCAGGAACUAAUACUACCCAUGUAUCUCAGCAAGUUCAACCUAUACAAAGAACCAAUCCUUUCAGUGGUACUGUCAAGAAAAGUGCCCCUCAGAGAUCUCUCAGUGCGCCAAUAGCAUCUCAGGGGCAACAAGGUCAGCUGCCACCAUCUUCACAGGCUGCCUCAAAUGUAGUGCAUGGCGUAGGAUCUCAACUUUCCCGGUGCACCUCGCUUAUGAAUGAGAGCAGACAAUUCCUGCCAGAACCAGUAAUCGAUGUUUCCACACAAAGCUGGCAAGACAUACUUGCUAGUGUGGCAUCGGAUCUGGGAGUAUUAGACGAUUCUGCUUACAGUACCAGUACUUCACGGUCCCAGCAGCCUGUGAGGACUUCCCCCCAACCUCUGGAUGCCGGUGCAAACCAAGGGGAGGAGGGCCUUCACACCAAGUCUGUUGCGUCAGCCGUAAACCUGAUGACUUCUAGUGGGCAUGGCUUGCCCAUUCAUACAACAGGUGGUGGUACCCAGACAAAUGCUCCUAAGCAAACUUUGCAUCCUCUGAAUUAUGGUGGCAAUCUUAGUCCAGAUGAAGCUCAUCUUGAUGGUUUUCUAAGCCCCCCUGCAGAUGAAUUAUUGUUAGAAGCUGCUCAUCAGAGGGACUCUUCCGGAUUGGAUUCUACAGGCCUUAUAUUUGACUUUGAACUCGACGACUGGGCUUAA